CCUGGUCGCAACCAGAAAACGAUUGGCCCUGGGAUUUAAUGGCUGUUCCUGGGGAGGGUGGCGAUUGGUCUGUGGGAGUGAGUGCCCUGGUUUAACAACUAGGCAGAGGACGCUGAUAUGGGUGGGGCCUCAGCAAGUCGCACUCAAAAGUGGUUGGAUCACAGAGCCAAGGGGUUGAUCAAACAAACCUCCAGAAGCAGCGGAAGGCGCUAGCGUGUGGCUGACUGCGGGGAGCAGUGAUUCAGGGAUUUCGCAAACUCCCCAGUCGCUGAACUCGCAGCAGCAGAAGUCUGGGAGGGUACCCACCCCUGAGAUCAGGUGUCCUGUUUACAGAUGAAGCUCUAGAAACCUGAAGGAAAGAGCUCCUCAUUCUCAGCUGUGUGCAACGCACUUUGGGUGUCCAUCUGAUGGAGAAGAACGGGGAGUCGUGGGGCUAGGCCGAUCCUGCCCCUGUAGAAGCCUGAUUUGGACACAGGGCCUCUGAGCUCCCCUGAUCCUCCAUUUCUUCCCUUGCUGCCAGCACCUUCGGCUUGUUGGUCUCCUUUGUCUAUUCCCUGAGCUUGGCCACACUGGACAGCCCCACCCCUGAAGGCUGCUUGCCUGUCUGACCCAGGAAGCUGUCUAGAACAUCGUGGAAGAAGUGGCUUGAUAGCCAAGUGAGAUCUGGAAUGCUGGGUUGACUGAACUUUUCCAGUGGCUUCAGGGGCCCACAGGAGGUCUUAAGCAGCAAUUUCCAUCAUGACUUCUUCAUCCUGGAUCCCAGAAUUAAGAUGGCGUGGAAUUGAGCUCUAGCCCAGCUCUAAAAUGAUGUGUCUCUGGAUCAAGAGAAGCCACAUCUGGGUUUGACAUAGAGACUAUCAGAGAUCCUGGACUUGCGCCUGAUGCCAUGAUCAGGUCUCCUUUGAGUAGGGGAUGUACUUAUUUUGCAUGUGGAAGCCCAGGAACCUCCAUUAAACCUUAUCCGAUGCCCAAACUCAAGCUCCCAUACCCCGACAAGAAGAAAAAAGACAACCCAGUGUGAAAGUAAAUGCUUUAAUUAAAGUGUUGCUCAGAGGAACCAUGUCUCUCAACAGCCUCCACUCCACCCAACUCUCUCCGCUGGGCAAGGUGAGCAGGCUGCCUGGGGGGCAAAGG
Long non-coding RNA from Talpa occidentalis (Iberian mole), 1134 nucleotides. RefSeq lists it as uncharacterized. The record is from RefSeq and is a predicted model, not a curated record. Lineage: Eukaryota; Metazoa; Chordata; Mammalia; Eulipotyphla; Talpidae. The transcript has 4 exons.